This is a long non-coding RNA of Lynx canadensis (Canada lynx), 313 nucleotides long. RefSeq lists it as uncharacterized. Lineage: Eukaryota; Metazoa; Chordata; Mammalia; Carnivora; Felidae. The record is from RefSeq and is a predicted model, not a curated record. The transcript is spliced from 2 exons.
AUAAGGGAUCUGAGAGUAAGGAAAACUGGUUUCCCACCCGGAUGCUUAUUCUCAUUUGCUAAGACACUGCUGACCCACGAACUCCGGAAGAAUGGCAUGAGGUCCCCGUUCCUCUGUCUCCUGCAACUGUGGGACUGACAGCCAACAGGACUCCACUUCCUACCAAGAUGACCCUUUCUUUGGCUGACUAGGUCAUAGGUCUGACAUUGGCAGAUAAGGCAAUUCUGGGGGAUAUGAGUUUUUUAAUUUGUUUCAAAUGCAGGAAUUUGAAUCAAAUUCUAUUGCCGAUUAAAAGGAAAUUUGUAGUUCGUGA